This 253-nucleotide ribosomal RNA is filed under the name uncultured bacterium. RNAcentral describes it as "partial 16S ribosomal RNA". It matches the Rfam family "Bacterial small subunit ribosomal RNA", at positions 524 to 776 of the family's 1533-position model. The record is from RNAcentral.
GACAGAGGAGGCAAGCGUUGUCCGGACUUACUGGGCGUAAAGCGUCCGCAGGUGGUCGUGCAAGUGCCGUGUGAAAGCGCUCGGCUUAACUGAGCGAGGCCAGGGCAGACUGCUCGGCUCGAGGUCGGGAGAGGUCGGUGGAAUUGCCGGUGUAGUGGUGAAAUGCGUAGAGAUCGGCAGGAACACCCAAGGGGAAGCCAGCCGACUGGCCCGCACCUGACACUCAGGGACGACAGCGUGGGGAGCGAACCGG